Acanthosepion pharaonis is the source of this 101-nucleotide non-coding RNA. Lineage: Eukaryota; Metazoa; Mollusca; Cephalopoda; Sepiida; Sepiidae. The record is from the annotation of a GenBank genome assembly.
UUACGGCCACACCGCAUUGAAACACCGGUUCCCUUAUGAUGACCGAAGUUAAGCAACGUCGAGCUUAGAGAUGGGUGACCGCUUGGGAAUACCAGAUGCUA